Molecule: long non-coding RNA, 1065 nt
Organism: Triticum aestivum (bread wheat)
Lineage: Eukaryota; Viridiplantae; Streptophyta; Magnoliopsida; Poales; Poaceae
Exons: 4
Source: RefSeq, a predicted model, not a curated record
GUAGUUGCUUACAAGUUACCAGCAUAUAUCCGGUCCUAACUCUAGAUACAUUGUCAUCAGUUCGAUCUAUGUGUGAAGAAGGAUUUUUCUGGAUGGGAUCAUUCUUUUGGUGGACUAAGUUUGUAAUGUUAUGUAAAUAUUUCAUUGGGACCACCAGGAGAGGUUAUCGUCAGAGGCAGUGAAACAAUCUGAAGGACACUUGUGGUUAAGCAGCAGGAGCAGCAGGUGAGGAAGAAACUAAAGAAAGACUAGUUAUGUGGUCACCUGGGACUCCAGAGUGUUUUUUGGUGCCAUGCCAUUACUGAUGGUACCUCGGCAGUGCUGGUUGCUGGGCAGGUGUAUGCGACAUGUUGAAUCAUUCUUCCGCAAGAGGCCCUAAAGCUUCAUUUUGAUGAGAAACUGUCUGCACUCUGCAGUUUGGAACCUUGCGGAAGGAUCCUGUGAAUUUUUUGGAUACUAGGCUUCCUUGAUGGCUGCUCUGCUACUGCUAGCUGCAUCCCUGAUGACCUGGUCUGGAUUUGGGUCCUGGUCCUUUGGGUGGACGUGGUUGAUAGGCAGGGGUCAGCAGCAGUUCUAAACAACUUCUUGUUUUUGAAAUGUCAACCGCGGGGCGAUUCCCCCACUUGAAUAUAUGUAUAUUUUCCAAAAGAUGCAGUCCUCAGACCGUGAUCAUACCGCAAAUGUGAAGAGAGGGGUACUGGCAGUUACACAGAGAUUACAAGAUACAGAGAGCAGCUGCAUCAGGUAGUGGGUCCGCUAGAAUGAUCUGACUAACUUGCACUACAUUUCCGCUCAAGGUCAUGUUUAUUCCUACCCAACCUGAUGAUUUGUGCCUAACAACUUUGUACAAGGUUCCAUAUGACGAUGCAACCCAAAUUUGGCUUUUUGAUCGACCAUUCUCAGAUGUACUUCAGCAAGCUGUAGUAGUAGAUGUACUCGUUAUGUUUGUAUUCUCUUGAUGCUACAUUUGAGUCAAUAAAAUCCACCCUUUGUCGAAAAAAAGGCUGUAGUAGUAGAUUAUACCAAUGACAACAGGUGCAGAUGUAAUAUCCCACAAAAAACAUG